ACUGCGCUCGGAGAAGCUUUUACUGUGACGCCUUCGGACCGGGGUUCGACUCCCCGCACCUCCACCA
This 67-nucleotide transfer-messenger RNA is filed under the name Thermoanaerobacter sp. Its description in RNAcentral is "partial transfer-messenger RNA". It matches the Rfam family "transfer-messenger RNA", at positions 307 to 374 of the family's 374-position model. From Rfam's summary of the family: Bacterial tmRNA, also known as 10Sa RNA or SsrA, is named for its dual tRNA and mRNA-like properties. Its role is to liberate the mRNA from a stalled ribosome. Lineage: Bacteria; Bacillati; Bacillota; Clostridia; Thermoanaerobacterales; Thermoanaerobacteraceae. The record is from RNAcentral.